Molecule: transfer RNA, 64 nt
Filed under: Ischnosoma splendidum
Lineage: Eukaryota; Metazoa; Arthropoda; Insecta; Coleoptera; Staphylinidae
Description: tRNA-Phe
Source: RNAcentral
ACUUAAAUAGCUUAUACAGAGCAUAAUAUUGAAGAUAUUAAGGAAAUAGACUUAUUUUUAAGUA